Molecule: ribosomal RNA, 253 nt
Filed under: uncultured bacterium
Lineage: Bacteria
Description: partial 16S ribosomal RNA
Rfam family: Bacterial small subunit ribosomal RNA
Source: RNAcentral
UACAGAGGGGGCAAGCGUUAUUCGGAAUUAUUGGGCGUAAAGGGCGCGUAGGCGGCUUGGCAAGUGGAUGGUGAAAUCCCUCGGCUUAACCGAGGAACUGCCGUCCAAACUGCUUUGCUUGAGGUCGGGAGAGGUGAGUGGAAUUCCCAGUGUAGCGGUGAAAUGCGUAGAUAUUGGGAGGAACACCAGUGGCGAAGGCGGCUCACUGGACCGGUACUGACGUCGAUGCGCGCAAGCGUGGGGAGCAAACGGG